GACGAACGCUGGCGGCGUGCUUAACACAUGCAAGUCGAACGGAAAGGCCCUGCUUUUGUGGGGUGCUCGAGUGGCGAAAGGAUGAGUAACACGUGAGUAACCUGCCCUUGACUUUGGGAUAACUUCAGGAAACUGGGGCUAAUACCGGAUAGGAACUCCUGCUGCAUGGGGGGGGUUGGAAAGUUUCGGCGGUUGGGGAUGGACGCGCGGCUUAUCAGCUUGUUGGUGGGGUAGUGGCUUACCAAGGCUUUGACGGGUAGCCGGCCUGAGAGGGUGACCGGCCACAUUGGGACUGAGAUACGGCCCAGACUCCUACGGGAGGCAGCAGUGGGGAAUAUUGCUCAAUGGGCGGAAGCCUGAUGCAGCAACGCCGCGUGCUGGAUGACGGCCUUCGGGUUGUAACCCGCUUUCGCCUGUGACGAAGCGUGAGUGACGGUAAUGGGUAAAGAAGCACCGGCUAACUACGUG
Molecule: ribosomal RNA, 468 nt
Filed under: uncultured bacterium
Lineage: Bacteria
Description: partial 16S ribosomal RNA
Rfam family: Bacterial small subunit ribosomal RNA
Source: RNAcentral